Molecule: ribosomal RNA, 547 nt
Filed under: uncultured bacterium
Lineage: Bacteria
Description: bacterial SSU rRNA
Rfam family: Bacterial small subunit ribosomal RNA
Source: RNAcentral
UGGGGAAUAUUGCGCAAUGGGGGGAACCCUGACGCAGCCAUGCCGCGUGAAUGAAGAAGGCCUUAGGGUUGUAAAGUUCUUUCGGUAUUGAGGAAGGUUGAUGUGUUAAUAGCACAUCAAAUUGACGUUAAAUACAGAAGAAGCACCGGCUAACUCCGUGCCAGCAGCCGCGGUAAUACGGAGGGUGCGAGCGUUAAUCGGAAUAACUGGGCGUAAAGGGCACGCAGGCGGUUAUUUAAGUGAGGUGUGAAAGCCCCGGGCUUAACCUGGGAAUUGCAUUUCAGACUGGGUAACUAGAGUACUUUAGGGAGGGGUAGAAUUCCACGUGUAGCGGUGAAAUGCGUAGAGAUGUGGAGGAAUACCGAAGGCGAAGGCAGCCCCUUGGGAAUGUACUGACGCUCAUGUGCGAAAGCGUGGGGAGCAAACAGGAUUAGAUACCCUGGUAGUCCACGCUGUAAACGCUGUCGAUUUGGGGGUUGGGGUUUAACUCUGGCGCCCGUAGCUAACGUGAUAAAUUGACCGCCUGGGGAGUACGGCCGCAAGGUUA